GCCUGGGUGGCUCAGUUGGUUAAGCAUCUGACUCUUGGUUUUCGGCUCAGGUCAUGAUCUCGCAGUUUGUGGGUUCAAGCCCCACAUCAGGCU
This 93-nucleotide transfer RNA is filed under the name Felis catus (domestic cat). It matches the Rfam family "tRNA". Rfam says of the family: Transfer RNA (tRNA) molecules are approximately 80 nucleotides in length. Their secondary structure includes four short double-helical elements and three loops (D, anti-codon, and T loops). Lineage: Eukaryota; Metazoa; Chordata; Mammalia; Carnivora; Felidae. The record is from Rfam by way of RNAcentral.